This 46-nucleotide non-coding RNA is filed under the name Trichobilharzia regenti. Lineage: Eukaryota; Metazoa; Platyhelminthes; Trematoda; Strigeidida; Schistosomatidae. The record is from RNAcentral.
AUGCUGCUGAGGAGUCCAAAACUAGGACGAAACAGCUGUCCAGUAC